Molecule: ribosomal RNA, 266 nt
Filed under: uncultured bacterium
Lineage: Bacteria
Description: partial 16S ribosomal RNA
Rfam family: Bacterial small subunit ribosomal RNA
Source: RNAcentral
GUCCACGCCGUAAACGAUGGGUGCUAGACGUUGGCGAGCUUGCUCGUCAGUGUCGCAGCUAACGCGUUAAGCACCCCGCCUGGGGAGUACGGCCGCAAGGUUGAAACUCAAAGGAAUUGACUGGGGCCCCGCACAAGCGGUGGAGCAUGUGGUUCAAUUCGACGCAACGCGCAGAACCUUACCAGCCCUUGACAUGUGACUCGCCGGUACCAGAGAUGGUACCUUCGGUUCGGCCGGAGUCAGCACAGGUGCUGCAUGGCUGUCGU